This is a non-coding RNA of Chaetomium sp. MPI-CAGE-AT-0009, 89 nucleotides long. Lineage: Eukaryota; Fungi; Ascomycota; Sordariomycetes; Sordariales; Chaetomiaceae. The record is from the annotation of a GenBank genome assembly.
GCCCGCAUGGCUCAGUGGUAGAGCGUGUCACUAGUAUCUCGACGAGAUUAUCUAUGACAAGGUCACUAGUUCGAUUCUGGUUGUGGGCA